AAUCAACGCUGGCGGCGUGCCUCAGACAUGCAAGUCGAACGAUUAAAGCUCUCUUCGGAGAGUGCAUAAAGUGGCGCACGGGUGAGUAACACGUAAGUAAUCUACCUUCGAGUGGGGAAUAACGUCCGGAAACGGACGCUAAUACCGCAUAACGCAGCGGCAUCGCAAGAUGACAGUUGUUAAAGAUUUAUCGCUUGAAGAGGAGCUUGCGGCAGAUUAGCUUGUUGGUAAGGUAACGGCUUACCAAGGCUACGAUCUGUAUCCGGUCUAAGAGGACGGUCGGGACACACUGACACUGAAUAACGGGUCAGACUCCUACGGGAGGCAGCAGUCGGGAA
Molecule: ribosomal RNA, 338 nt
Filed under: uncultured bacterium
Lineage: Bacteria
Description: bacterial SSU rRNA
Rfam family: Bacterial small subunit ribosomal RNA
Source: RNAcentral